UUUUUAGCAUAAGUAUGUCCCAUGCAAUAUUUAGGAUGUGCCAUAAAUAUUGCUUGGGACAUACUUAUGCUAAAA
Camelus ferus (Wild Bactrian camel) is the source of this 75-nucleotide microRNA precursor. It matches the Rfam family "mir-1302 microRNA precursor family". The record is from Rfam. NCBI's taxonomy places the organism in Eukaryota, Metazoa, Chordata, Mammalia, Artiodactyla, Camelidae.